CUGUUUAACUGCUAGAAACUUGACCAAGCUAUGUGAUCCUUAUAAAACCUUAGACGACUUGGGAGCCAGUAAGAAGAUGAAGUCUAACAGAUGUGGUUUUGGAUUAGCUGCUGACCUAAUAGCUGAUACCAAAUUAUAUGGUAUCAAAGUGUAAAUGUAAUACCACAACCCUACUACCAGCUGUGACAUCUUUGGGUAACUGACCCUAGUGUGCGCUAUUUCCUCCAGGAAUACAUGAGCUGAAAGCCCAGAUGGACUAAGACAAAGCCUGUCUUAAGGAGUGUUACCACACUGACUCCGUUUAUCUUGAAAACUGGGAAGAUAUGACCCCAGACAGAGGAGAAAACAGAUUUGGUGAUAAAGUGUUCGAAGAAAAAAAGUCAGUUUAAAACUGUGGUCUGUCCAGAUCACUUGCCUUAUCUUUCUGUAAACUAAUUUUUAACGAAUAGCUGGUCUCUUUCAAAGAUGAGCAAUGACCAGGAAGACAUGCAUAAUUAGAGCAAUUUCCAGUUAAACAAGCUGUGUUUAUAUCCCCCCUCCCCAAAACCCUACUAAAAUGAUAGUAAAAGAAUAUAAAGAGGCCUAACCCCCACAGGAGUCAGGAGACAUCAGGAGAGGAGAGAUUUCAACAAGUUUUUGAAAGACAGAGAUGGAGUAGUGAGAGGCAAUUAAAUUAGCAAACUGGAGGAAAACAUUGUUUAAAGUGUAUGCUGACCCCAUGAAGGCAUCAGAUACUGUGUAAGGUGGGCAUGAGGCAUAGGGUGAAAACACCUGAAUGUUAGAUCAAAGGCCCCUUCCUCCACCUCUUAAAGCAAGGUGACUACCAGACCAAGCAGGAAAUUGUAGAUUCAGUCUACAGAAACUAAAUCUGAAAGAUGUUGCUGAUGUCAUGUAGAAUUAGAAACAAGGGAAUUAAGAAUAAGUCAGCCCUAUUGUAUGAUCCAGCAAUUCCACUACUAGGUGUAUACCCAAGAGAAUUAAAAACAUA
This is a long non-coding RNA of Balaenoptera musculus (blue whale), 988 nucleotides long. RefSeq lists it as uncharacterized. The transcript is spliced from 3 exons. Lineage: Eukaryota; Metazoa; Chordata; Mammalia; Artiodactyla; Balaenopteridae. The record is from RefSeq and is a predicted model, not a curated record.